UACGUAGGGUGCAAGCGUUGUCCGGAAUUAUUGGGCGUAAAGAGCUCGUAGGCGGUUUGUCGCGUCUGCUGUGAAAACUCGGGGCUUAACCCUGGGCUUGCAGUGGAUACGGGCAGACUAGAGGUAGGUAGGGGAGAAUGGAAUUCCUGGUGUAGCGGUGAAAUGCGCAGAUAUCAGGAGGAACACCGGUGGCGAAGGCGGUUCUCUGGGCCUUACCUGACACUGAGGAGCGAAAGCGUGGGGAGCGAACAGG
This 253-nucleotide ribosomal RNA is filed under the name uncultured bacterium. RNAcentral describes it as "partial 16S ribosomal RNA". It matches the Rfam family "Bacterial small subunit ribosomal RNA", at positions 524 to 776 of the family's 1533-position model. The record is from RNAcentral.